GCAGAUAUAGUUUAAGUAAAAUACUAGUUUGUGGCACUAGAGCUAGAGGUUAGAGGCCUCUUUUCCGCA
Molecule: transfer RNA, 69 nt
Filed under: Pteragogus flagellifer (cocktail wrasse)
Lineage: Eukaryota; Metazoa; Chordata; Actinopteri; Labriformes; Labridae
Also listed under: 1 other name
Description: tRNA-His
Rfam family: tRNA
About the family: Transfer RNA (tRNA) molecules are approximately 80 nucleotides in length. Their secondary structure includes four short double-helical elements and three loops (D, anti-codon, and T loops). Further hydrogen bonds mediate the characteristic L-shaped molecular structure. tRNAs have two regions of fundamental functional importance: the anti-codon, which is responsible for specific mRNA codon recognition, and the 3' end, to which the tRNAs corresponding amino acid is attached (by aminoacyl-tRNA synthetases). tRNAs cope with the degeneracy of the genetic code in two manners: having more than one tRNA (with a specific anti-codon) for a particular amino acid; and 'wobble' base-pairing, i.e. permitting non-standard base-pairing at the 3rd anti-codon position.
Source: RNAcentral